UAUUCGUUGAUGUAAAAAGCAUAAAAAGGUUUGAUCUUUUAAGAAAUGGUGUAAUUCCAUUACGUAUAA
Molecule: transfer RNA, 69 nt
Filed under: Xenograpsus testudinatus
Lineage: Eukaryota; Metazoa; Arthropoda; Malacostraca; Decapoda; Xenograpsidae
Description: tRNA-Gln
Source: RNAcentral